Chroicocephalus ridibundus (black-headed gull) is the source of this 2007-nucleotide long non-coding RNA. RefSeq lists it as uncharacterized. Lineage: Eukaryota; Metazoa; Chordata; Aves; Charadriiformes; Laridae. The transcript is spliced from 6 exons. The record is from RefSeq and is a predicted model, not a curated record.
GGCGGGCCGGGCCGCUCUGGAAGCGGAGGGGGCCGGGCGGAAAAUGGCGGCCGGCUCGAAAUCAGAGCGGGCCGGGCGGAAAGCUGGGCCCAGCGGGCGGGUGCUCGGUCGGGCCGGGCCCGCGGUGCCGCCGCGAGCACGUCGUGAGGCAGCUGGACCGCGCCAAGGGUCACCUUCUGCCGCACGGCAAGAGAAUUCUGCAUGACUGAUUCCGCUCGUGGCUCAGGAAGAGGCUACGUUUAAAAGUUCAUUAGUUUCCUCCUGACCGUGCCAGUGACUAAAACUGAGUUAUGAUUUUUGAACCCCAGAAAAAUGACACCGCUCUUAGAGAUCCGGGCUAUUUCUGAACAUGUUUUCGUCAUGUGCAAAUGUCCUCGGGAUGCAGAUCGCCUGCGCUUGGUGCUCUGACGAGAUGAUACACUGACACAGGGAAGAGCUCCGGCAGCCAGAAAAGACACAAGGCGAUCGAGGUCAAAGGAGAGACGUGGACGAACUGGGACAAAGCGGCGUCUCGCUUCUGCACGUUUUCCAGGCGUUCCCACGAAGCGCCAGCAGCAUCGUAACUAGUGACGGCGAGUCCUGAUGUAGCUUUGAAUGUCAACUGCCAGCGUUUCUCCAUGUGGUGUUGUGCCGUGACAGUGCAGGACAGACAGAAAGGAUCCGGAGUGCUCUGUGAGUAUGAGGGUUUGACCCCUCCGUCUCGGCUGCAUCGACCCUGUGAACGAGGUGACCGGCGGCAGCAGCGCUGUUACCAAAGACAGGCCUCUGCUUUGUUUCUGAAAUAGUUGUUUCUUACUAACCCUUAUUGUGUGAGAAAAUAGCUAAUUACUGACUUCAUUACUGUGUAAAAAUAGUUAGUCACUGGGCUGAUGUUACAGAUAGUGAUAGUGAGGAGACAACCAGAAGUAGUUAAUCACUUCAAGGUUCUUCUAUAUGUCAAGUAUGUACUCUUAUACCAAUUAGGAUGGAGUUAGGGCUGCUUCAAAGAACAUCCUUAUUAUCUUCAAGAAGUUGGCAAACUUACAGCAAACAUUUAGUGUCCUGAGAUGACUCGACACCUUAAAAGGAUAAUGUGAGGAAGGGCCUCCUUACCCAAACGACCACGGGGAAACUCACGCUUGUGCAGAAGUGUUUUGCCGCCACAGCAAAAUUUGAUACACGUGUGCAAAAAGCCUAUUCGGUCAUCCUGAUGAAUAGGCAAGCCUAGGUGGAGUUAUGGAUUAGGUAGGUGGAAUUAUGAGAAUAUUUUGUGUAUAAAUAGUGGGUGAAUAUGCCUGGUAAGGUGUGCUAGACUGUGGUUUUUCCCCCUAGCACCCGAUGUCUAAUAAAGCACUGUCUCCUCUCUGAACUACCUUCGGUUUCAAGGGCUUUUAUUUCAGGUCACAGCACCAGGGCAGUAGCUGCGGCGGUGGCUCCGUCAGCGUGGAUUCUGGUUACGGCCCAGCCCGGUCCUGCCGCCCCGCACGCAGGGUGACGGAUCUCCGGGCGGCCGCGCUGGGAGGAAGGGGCCAGACGUUUUUCAGCGCGGGCCAGAGGGUUUGCCGUCACACUAAGAAGGUGUUCCAAAUGGCAUCGGUUAGCCUUAAUCCUGACUUCAGGAGUUGGGCUGGCGCUGGCUUUUGCAGGCUGGCUGUGCAGUUUGUUGCUGUGUUCCUUUUUUGGGGGGGAAUAGAAGGGUGUCUGUAUGUGUCUGGGGGUGAUGACGUCAUUGGGGGCACCCCCAUGUCACCGGGGCAGUGACGAUGCGGCGGAGGAGCAGGUGAGCAGGGGAUGGGGGGGGGGUCUCAGCCCCAAAACGUUGGAAAAUUCUCGGGAUGUGUUAAAAAAUGUGAAAACCUGUAACUACGGGCGUAAGGCAUUGAACUAGAGAACGAUUCUCAUUUAUGUACGAGAAAUACGUAUAUUGAGAAACAAUACUAAUUUAUGUAUGUAAAAUAAGUUCACAAUAAAAACCUCUGUCUCUAAGGAUUCCAUGGUUCUGUGUUUCUGCGUCGUAUAAAAGAUCCC